GAUGAACGCUGGCGGCGUGCCUAAUACAUGCAAGUCGAGCGAACAGACGAGGAGCUUGCUCCUCUGACGUUAGCCGCGGAGGUGUGAGUAACACGUGGAUAACCCACCUAUAAUACUGGUAUAACUUCGGGAAACCGGAGCAAACACCGGAUGAUAUAUUGAACCGCAUUGGUCAAUAGUGAAAGUCGGUGGUGCGGUCACGUAUAGAUGGAUCCGCGCCGCAUUAGCUAGUUGGUAAGGUAACGGCUUACCAAGGCAAGGAUGCGUAGCCGACGUGAGAGGGUGAUCGGCCACACUGGAAGUGAGACACGGUCAAGGGUCCUACGGGAGGGAGCAGUAGGGAAUCUUCCGCAGUGGGCGAGAGCCUGACGGAACAGCGCCGAGUGAGUGAUGAAGGUGUUGGGAGCGUAAAAAUGUGUUAUUAGGGAAGAACCAAUGUGUAAGUAGAUAUGCACGUCUUGACGGUAACUAAUAAGAAAGCCACGGCUAACUACGUG
This 497-nucleotide ribosomal RNA is filed under the name uncultured bacterium. RNAcentral's name for it is "partial 16S ribosomal RNA". It matches the Rfam family "Bacterial small subunit ribosomal RNA", at positions 28 to 507 of the family's 1533-position model. The record is from RNAcentral.